Molecule: ribosomal RNA, 406 nt
Filed under: uncultured bacterium
Lineage: Bacteria
Description: bacterial SSU rRNA
Rfam family: Bacterial small subunit ribosomal RNA
Source: RNAcentral
GCAGGGAAUCUUGCGCAAUGGGCGAAAGCCUGACGCAGCGACGCCGCGUGGGGGAAGAAGGCCUUCGGGUUGUAAACCCCUUUUCUCGGGGACGAAACCAGACGGUACCCGAGGAAGAAGCUCCGGCUAACUACGUGCCAGCAGCCGCGGUAAUACGUAGGGAGCGAGCGUUGUCCGGAUUUACUGGGCGUAAAGGGCGCGUAGGCGGUAUGGCACCUCUCCGGUGAAAUCUCCCGGCUUAACCGGGAGGGGUCCGGGGAAAGGGCUGCACUGGAGGGCGGCAGAGGCGAGUGGAAUUCCCGGUGUAGUGGUGAUAUGCGUAGAGAUCGGGAGGAACACCCGUGGCGAAAGCGACUCGCUGGGCCGACCCUGACGCUGAGGCGCGAAAGCGUGGGGAGCAAACCGG